GCCCUUAUGGCUCAGUGGUAGAGCGCACCCAUGGUAAGGGUGAGGGCCCGAGUUCGAUCCUCGGUGAGGGCU
RNAcentral lists this transfer RNA (72 nucleotides) under Prasinoderma coloniale. RNAcentral describes it as "tRNA-Thr". It matches the Rfam family "tRNA". From Rfam's summary of the family: Transfer RNA (tRNA) molecules are approximately 80 nucleotides in length. Lineage: Eukaryota; Viridiplantae; Prasinodermophyta; Prasinodermophyceae; Prasinodermales; Prasinodermaceae. The record is from RNAcentral.